RNAcentral lists this ribosomal RNA (436 nucleotides) under uncultured Butyricicoccus sp. Its description in RNAcentral is "partial 16S ribosomal RNA". It matches the Rfam family "Bacterial small subunit ribosomal RNA", at positions 341 to 792 of the family's 1533-position model. The record is from RNAcentral. Lineage: Bacteria; Bacillati; Bacillota; Clostridia; Eubacteriales; Butyricicoccaceae.
ACGGAAGGCAGCAGUGGGGAAUAUUGCGCAAUGGGGGCAACCCUGACGCAGCAACGCCGCGUGAUUGAAGAAGGUCUUCGGAUUGUAAAAAUCUUUUAUCAAGGACGAAGAAGUGACGGUACUUGAUGAAUAAGCUCCGGCUAACUACGUGCCAGCAGCCGCGGUAAUACGUAGGGAGCAAGCGUUAUCCGGAUUUACUGGGUGUAAAGGGCGAGUAGGCGGGUCGGCAAGUUGGGAGUGAAAUGUCGGGGCUUAACCCCGGAACUGCUUCCAAAACUGUUGAUCUUGAGUGAUGGAGAGGCAGGCGGAAUUCCUAGUGUAGCGGUGAAAUGCGUAGAUAUUAGGAGGAACACCAGUGGCGAAGGCGGCCUGCUGGACAUUAACUGACGCUGAGGAGCGAAAGCGUGGGGAGCAAACAGGAUUAGAUACCCUGGUA